This 106-nucleotide Y RNA is filed under the name Carlito syrichta (Philippine tarsier). RNAcentral's name for it is "Y RNA (ENSTSYG00000035347.1)". It matches the Rfam family "Y RNA". From Rfam's summary of the family: Y RNAs are components of the Ro ribonucleoprotein particle (Ro RNP), in association with Ro60 and La proteins. The Y RNAs and Ro60 and La proteins are well conserved, but the function of the Ro RNP is not known. Lineage: Eukaryota; Metazoa; Chordata; Mammalia; Primates; Tarsiidae. The record is from Rfam by way of RNAcentral.
CGUUCGUCUGAAAGUCGUGAGUUAUCUCAAAUGACUGUUCACAGUUACAGAUUGAACUCCUGGUUCUACUCUUUCACUCCUCACUUCUGAACUUGACUAGUCUUAA